UAUGGUGACUAUAGCAGUGGGGUUCACCUCUUUCCAUUCCGAACAGAGAAGUUAAGCCCAUUAGCGCAGAUGGUACUAGGUUUUCCUGGGAGAGUAUGUCGUUGCCAAUU
This 110-nucleotide ribosomal RNA is filed under the name Flavobacteriales bacterium. Lineage: Bacteria; Pseudomonadati; Bacteroidota; Flavobacteriia; Flavobacteriales. The record is from RNAcentral.